RNAcentral lists this ribosomal RNA (396 nucleotides) under uncultured bacterium. RNAcentral's name for it is "partial 16S ribosomal RNA". It matches the Rfam family "Bacterial small subunit ribosomal RNA", at positions 523 to 918 of the family's 1533-position model. The record is from RNAcentral.
AUACGUAGGGGGCAAGCGUUAUCCGGAUUUACUGGGUGUAAAGGGAGCGCAGACAGCAGAGCAAGUCUGAUGUGAAAGCCCGGGGCUCAACCCCGGAACUGCAUUGGAAACUGCUGAGCUUGAGUGUCGGAGGGGUAAGCGGAAUUCCUAGUGUAGCGGUGAAAUGCGUAGAUAUUAGGAGGAACACCGGUGGCGAAGGCGGCUUACUGGACGAUCACUGACGUUGAGGCUCGAAAGCGUGGGGAGCAAACAGGAUUAGAUACCCUGGUAGUCCACGCUGUAAACGAUGAAUACUAGGUGUGGGUGUGCACUGCACAUCCGUGCCGCAGCUAACGCAGUAAGUAUUCCACCUGGGGAGUACGUUCGCAAGAAUGAAACUCAAAUGAAUUGACGGGG